UAGAUGCGAGAGUAGAGCAUAUCAAUAAGCGGAGGAAAAGAAACUAACAAGGAUUCCCCUAGUAACGGCGAGUGAAGCGGGAAGAGCUCAAAUUUGAAAUCUUCAAGGGUUUCCCUUGACGAAUUGUAGUUUAAAGAAGUGUUUUCUGUUAGAGAGGUGGUAAAAGUUCUUUGGAAUAGGACAUCACAGAGGGUGAGAAUCCCGUAUUUGACCGUUACUUUCCAGCUGUGUGAUACACUUUCAAAGAGUCGGAUUGUUUGGGAAUGCAGUCCAAGAUGGGUGGUAAAUUUCAUCUAAAGCUAAAUAUUGGCGAGAGACCGAUAGCGAACAAGUACCGUGAGGGAAAGAUGGAAAGAACUUUGAAAAGAGAGUUAAACAGUACGUGAAAUUGUCAAAAGGGAAGCGUUUGACACCAGUGUUGUUUAGUUGAAAAUCAAUUCAAUAGUUUUUGAUUCUAAGUAGUAUUGACUUCAUCAGCUUGCUGCUUUCUUCUCAGAAAUUAUUGAAUGCACUUUUCAGUUAACAAGUCAACAUCAAUUUCUUUUGUUGUAAAAGGGUAAGAGGAAGGUGGCUUGCGCUUCGGCUCAAGUGUUUAUAGCCUUUUAUCUCUGCAAUCGGAGAGAUUGAGGUCUGCAGCGUAGAUCCUUCGGGGUUAGAUACAUUGGUGCUAAGCUAUAGCCUUGUAUAGACAACUUGUUGACUAUGCUCAGUCAUGUAGCUUACUCGCUGAUGCCUAUUUUACCUACGCUUAGGAUGUUGACGAGACUGUCGAUCUC
RNAcentral lists this ribosomal RNA (776 nucleotides) under uncultured Neocallimastigales. RNAcentral describes it as "partial large subunit ribosomal RNA". It matches the Rfam family "Eukaryotic large subunit ribosomal RNA", at positions 22 to 646 of the family's 3401-position model. The record is from RNAcentral. Lineage: Eukaryota; Fungi; Neocallimastigomycota; Neocallimastigomycetes; Neocallimastigales.